UGCAGACAACUGAAUUGUCCUUUGGCAAGAUAUGUUACAAAAUUGAAAGAUAUGUUUAAAUGCUCAAGUUUCAUGACAAAAUCAUGCAAAGUUUCAUUUGGGCAAAUAUUGAAAACUUUUAUUUUAUUAAAUGAUAAAUCUAAAUAUGCUAAGUUUUUUAAUUUUCUUGAUUGAUUGUUAUGUAUUGCUUUCAAUGAAUUAUGUGAUAAAUCAACUUUUUUCAAAUUUAAGCACGUGUCCGUGUAUGUAUCAAAUUCAAACACUGAAUUAUAUCCUAAUAUAAGCUCUGUCACGUUCAUACAAGAAGAACACUUACAGAGUUCCACUGAAUUAAAGUAUAUAUUUGUUAAGAAAAGUGUUUUAGUCAUUUUAAUUCCUGAUUGGAAAAGUUGCUCAAUGCGAAUCGGAGUUUUGUCAGCUUUAAAAAGGGACAAGUAUGGAAAGUUACACAAAGAAUUAUUCUCGAUAGACUGUAUAAAGUUUUCGCUUAGAUCAAGGACGCUUAUGUUAAAAUCCACGUAUUGUUCACGGUUUGUAGGAUAGUCUGAGUAUAAACAGUCUUCUUCCCUUAGGAUGUAAAUGUUAUUUUUGAUUAUUGAUAGUUUUUGUAAUGUUUUUAGUUUUCUUAAGGAUUUGGUUACUGUUGACAAGAAACUGAUGUGAUUAUGUUCCAAUAUCAGAUGUUCUAGAUGAUUAAGAUGGUUAAAGAUUGAUGUAUCCAAUGCAGAAAACUGUAUACCAAAUAAUUUGAGAUCCAAAAGAUUGUUUAGACCAUCAAAAGUACCUUCAUGAACUGUAAUAGUGGCAGAAGUGUUUUCUAAUUCUAUCCAUAGAGUAGAGAGUUGAGGUAAUCCUGAAAAGGCUUUGGGUAAAAGCUCAAAUACCCCAGUGACAUACAGUGCUUGGAGGUUCUUCAAUCGAGAAAACGAUGCUGUUUCAAUUUUGGAUCCCUUAUAACUUGUUAGACAAAGCCAGUCGGUUUCCAGAGGAACUUCUGACAAGGAUUCAUUGAGGGCUUCUAUCUUAUUACAAUGUACACCGAUUUUAUAAUCCAGAAGUUCAAAUUUAUCACAUUCAUUGAAUGUUAAAUUUAUGUCCGACUUAAAAUAUUUUCUUUCCAGCACUUGGCAUUUCACUCUCAGCACACACAGGCAAAAAGGGCAGGUGAAAAUUAUGUAGGUAAAACAUGGCAAAACGAGACACAAGAUGUCCAUGAGUAGAUGUUUACCAAAGGAUCUUCAAAAUGUAUGUGAAUGUAAUUGUACUCUAAAUAGAGUUUUGACAUUUU
Molecule: non-coding RNA, 1288 nt
Organism: Pelobates cultripes (western spadefoot toad)
Lineage: Eukaryota; Metazoa; Chordata; Amphibia; Anura; Pelobatidae
Source: the annotation of a GenBank genome assembly